RNAcentral lists this ribosomal RNA (211 nucleotides) under uncultured Corynebacterium sp. Its description in RNAcentral is "partial 16S ribosomal RNA". It matches the Rfam family "Bacterial small subunit ribosomal RNA", at positions 960 to 1173 of the family's 1533-position model. Lineage: Bacteria; Bacillati; Actinomycetota; Actinomycetes; Mycobacteriales; Corynebacteriaceae. The record is from RNAcentral.
CGCGAAGAACCUUACCUGGGCUUGACAUAUAGCGGAUCGCUGCAGAGAUGUAGUUUCCCUUUGUGGUCGUUAUACAGGUGGUGCAUGGUUGUCGUCAGCUCGUGUCGUGAGAUGUUGGGUUAAGUCCCGCAACGAGCGCAACCCUUGUCUUAUGUUGCCAGCAUUUGGUUGGGGACUCAUGAGAGACUGCCGGGGUCAACUCGGAGGAAGA